RNAcentral lists this long non-coding RNA (349 nucleotides) under Gallus gallus (chicken). The record is from RNAcentral. Lineage: Eukaryota; Metazoa; Chordata; Aves; Galliformes; Phasianidae.
CCGCCCCUCCCCACACACCGAAACCGGAAGUGACCCCACACCUACCGGAAACGGAAGUGCACGGGAGCCACCAGCCCCGCCGCCGGGACGGUGAGGAAGUAGAAUCCGCCGUAGGCGAAGGCCGCGGCCCACAGCAGCAGCGCCGCUCCCGCCCCGCACAGCGCCGCCCGCACCGCGCAGCGCCGCGCCCCGAGCAGCAGAGCCCGCGGCCAUUGCGGGGCGGCGCCGUGCGCGGGGAGCAUCGGCGGCCGGGACCGGAAGGGGCGGGGCCUGGGCCGGAAGUGGGGCGGCGGGGCCACGCGCCGCCGUCUCCCUGCGCUGCGCUCCACGCUCCGCCUCUAGCCCCGCC